This 241-nucleotide ribosomal RNA is filed under the name uncultured bacterium. Its description in RNAcentral is "partial 16S ribosomal RNA". It matches the Rfam family "Bacterial small subunit ribosomal RNA", at positions 15 to 244 of the family's 1533-position model. The record is from RNAcentral.
GAUCCUGGCUCAGGAUGAACGCUAGCUACAGGCUUAACACAUGCAAGUCGAGGGGCAGCAUGGUCUUAGCUUGCUAAGGCCGAUGGCGACCGGCGCACGGGUGAGUAACGCGUAUCCAACCUGCCUUACACUCUUGGACAGCCUUCUGAAAGGGAGAUUAAUACAAGAUGUUAUCAUGAGUAAGCAUUUUUCACAUGAUUAAAGGUUUACCGGUAGUAAGAGUGGGGAUGUCCGUUCCUAA